UGGGGAAUAUUGCGCAAUGGGGGAACCCUGACGCAGCAACGCCGCGUGAAGGAUGAAGGCUUUCGGGUUGUAAACUCUUUGAUGAGGGACGAAAGAAAUGACGGUACCUCAAAACAAGCCACGGCUAACUACGUGCCAGCAGCCGCGGUAAUACGUAGGUGGCGAGCGUUGUCCGGAAAUUACUGGGUGUAAAGGGCGUGUAGGCGGGAUGCAAGUCAGAUGUGAAAUGCCGGGGCUUAACUCCGGAGCUGCAUCUGAAACUGUGUUUCUUGAGUGUCGGAGAGGAAAGCGGAAUUCCCAGUGUAGCGGUGAAAUGCGUAGAUAUUGGGAGGAACACCAGUGGCGAAGGCGCUUUCUGGACGAUAACUGACGCUGAGGCGCGAAAGCGU
RNAcentral lists this ribosomal RNA (389 nucleotides) under uncultured bacterium. RNAcentral describes it as "partial 16S ribosomal RNA". It matches the Rfam family "Bacterial small subunit ribosomal RNA", at positions 355 to 762 of the family's 1533-position model. The record is from RNAcentral.